UGCAGGUUCAAGCCCAACCUGGGCAACACGAUAUCUUAGCAAGACUCUGUAAAAACAAAAAAGUACUGGGGAUGUAGAGGAGUAUAAUGAUCCUGGGUUCAACUUCCAGUACUUGGUAAAGAAAGGAAGGAAAAAUAGAAAAAGAGAAUCCUGCCAUUUGUGACAUGAGUAGAAUUCCAGAACACUAUUCAAUUGAAAUAAGCCAAAGAUAUAAAGAUAAACUCAAAGAAGGAGAAAGUAAAAUGGAGGCUACCAGAAGAUUGUGUCUCCAGUGUUUCCUAACAGAGGGCUUUGGAUAUGAAAGAAACCUAUUGCAGAAGGUUGAUAUAUGAAGGUUCACACACAGCGGGACACUCAUUUGAACUCACACAUUAAUAGUAUCUCAUCCACCAACAAGAAACAUAAGAGAACUGCUGAGAUGGCUGCCAUUAAUCUUAAGCAAG
RNAcentral lists this long non-coding RNA (443 nucleotides) under Heterocephalus glaber (naked mole-rat). Its description in RNAcentral is "lncRNA (ENSHGLG00100050901.1)". The record is from RNAcentral. Lineage: Eukaryota; Metazoa; Chordata; Mammalia; Rodentia; Bathyergidae.